UCUUCAUUUCACAAGCUCUCUCGCUGGUCAGACAAAGUGAGAUAGCAUGUGAAAUGAAGAGA
Molecule: non-coding RNA, 62 nt
Organism: Pristionchus pacificus
Lineage: Eukaryota; Metazoa; Nematoda; Chromadorea; Rhabditida; Neodiplogasteridae
Source: Rfam